UUCUAGAAGAGAUAAAGAGGUAGAAGAAAGAUGAAGAAACAAAUAAUUUUUUUCUAAUUUAUUCUUUCUUCCCAAACCCUUAGAACCAAAAAUCUAAAAUUUAGAUUUUUGCGUACACACCACGAGAGAGGACUCUCCUCUCUAUUUUUCACAUCAUAAACCAUGCCCAAACUUCCACCACAUGAAGAAGCUCUCUUCUGAUAUCUUACACACAAAAGAAACCAUAAAAGCCCCUUUUAUAGGCAUGUA
RNAcentral lists this long non-coding RNA (249 nucleotides) under Elaeis guineensis (African oil palm). RNAcentral describes it as "long non-coding RNA (EGUI_LNC082740)". The record is from RNAcentral. Lineage: Eukaryota; Viridiplantae; Streptophyta; Magnoliopsida; Arecales; Arecaceae.